GAGGUGAUAGCUCAGUCGGUAGAGCAGGGGAUUGAAAAUCCCCGUGUCCUUGGUUCGAUUCCGAGUCCGGGCACCA
RNAcentral lists this transfer RNA (76 nucleotides) under Escherichia coli. RNAcentral describes it as "tRNA-Phe". The stretch from base 6 to 67 matches the Rfam family "tRNA", at positions 6 to 65 of the family's 71-position model. From Rfam's summary of the family: Transfer RNA (tRNA) molecules are approximately 80 nucleotides in length. Lineage: Bacteria; Pseudomonadati; Pseudomonadota; Gammaproteobacteria; Enterobacterales; Enterobacteriaceae. The record is from RNAcentral.